Corylus avellana is the source of this 2348-nucleotide RNA transcript. It is a transcript of the gene named auxin response factor 17, with no coding region annotated. Lineage: Eukaryota; Viridiplantae; Streptophyta; Magnoliopsida; Fagales; Betulaceae. The record is from RefSeq and is a predicted model, not a curated record.
GUUUCUCUCUCUCUCCAGCUCAGACACUGCAUUUGUAGACUAACACUCACCCACACACAAACACUCUCACACUCGCACUGGGGGUCUCCGACUCCCUCUCCGCCCAUAUGUUAAAAAACCCUAACCAAACCCAUUCUCUCCAUUCUUCAUUGCUCUGGAUCAAAUCAAAUCUCUCUGAUUCCCAAACAAAUCCCUAGAGAAUGCCACCGCAGCUACCGCAUCCGCCGACCAAUCCUCGCCGUCUCGACUCCAAAAUCUGGCGAGCCUGCGCCGGAAACUCCGUCCAAAUCCCCGCCGUCCAUUCUAGGGUUUACUACUUCCCCCAGGGCCACUUGGAGCAAUCCUCUUCUCGCCCCACCUUCCUCCCCUCUCCAGUCCACUCCAGGCCCGCCGCUCUCUGCCGGAUUUCCGCCGUCGACUUCCUCGCCGAUCCGAUCACCGACGAGGUCUACGCGAAACUCGUUCUCCAACCUACUAAUCCGCAGCACUCCUCUCAGUUCCUUGAACCUUCCAGGAACCAAUCCGAUCGAGACGACGCCACAGGAGAGAAUGAUAAGGUCGUUUCCUUCUCAAAGAUUCUCACGCCGUCCGACGCCAACAACGGUGGAGGCUUCUCCGUUCCGAGGUUCUGCGCCGACUCCAUCUUCCCGCCGCUAAACUACCAUGCUGAGCCGCCGGUCCAGACCUUGUCCGUCACCGACGUACACGGCGCGGUCUGGGAAUUCCGGCACAUCUACCGCGGCACGCCGAGGCGCCACCUGCUUACCACCGGCUGGAGCAAGUUCGUGAACUUCAAGAAGCUGGUCGCCGGCGAUUCCGUGGUGUUCAUGAGGAACUCGACGGGCCAGAUGUUCGUCGGAGUCCGCCGCGCCGUGCGCCCGAGCAAUGGCGAUUCCGCCGCCAGGUGGACCUUGCAUAUCGGCGGACCAACGAGAGCAAAGGCGGAGGAGGACAAUGCCGAGGGGUUCUCGAGGAGCGGGAGGGGGAGGUUAACUGCGGAGGCGGUGGUGGAGGCCGUGGAGCUUGCAGCACAGGGAAUGGCGUUCGAAGUGGUGUACUAUCCGAGGCCGGGGUGGUCCGACUUUGUGGUGAAGGCGGAGGUGGUGGAAGAAGCUAUGACUGUGCUUUGGACCGCCGGUAUGAGAGUGAAGAUGGCAAUGGAAACUGAGGAUUCAUCGAGAACGACGUGGUUUCAGGGGACGAUUUCGGCCGUUUCGGUGUCCGAAGGGGGGAAUUGGCAGGGCUCUCCCUGGCGCAUGCUUCAGGUUACAUGGGAUGAACCUGGAGUCCUGCAGAAUGUCAAGGGAGUGAGUCCUUGGCAAGUUGAAUUCCACCCACCAUCAGAACCACUCCAUACUGCAUUCCCUCCCUCAAAGAAAUUUAGAACCCCACAGAAUUCUGGGCUGCACACAGAUGGAGAGGCCGACAUUUUCUAUCCCGUCACAACUAAUUCAACAAUGGGGCACUUGAGCCAAUCAUUUUUGAAUUAUAACACUUUUCCUGCUGGCAUGCAGGGAGCCAGGCAAAAUCUAUUCAGCAAAUCCAGUUUAUCCAACUUAUUAAGUGAAAACAAUAUGUGCAUUGAUAAUUCCUUUGGAAACAACACGGUGCCAAAGUUGAAAACUGUGUCUACUGAGCUGAAUAUUGGCAGUUCACUCUCUGGAAAUUUAUCAUCAGAUAGCCAGAGUAGUGUGCACUCCUUCGGCACGGAAUUUGUUGGGACCCAGUGCUGCACCUCAACAAAAGUUGGUGCUAGUUGCUUUCAGUUGUUUGGUAAGAUCAUCCAUAUGAAGCAACCUGUUGAAAGUGGUUUUGAUGACAUUGGUUGUACAGAAGAUGAUGGGGUUAAAAGAUACAGUGAAACUGAAGGCAUAAUAAACAACCCACUAGAUCUUUCUUUGACUUACACGAAACUGCUUGAUAGACUUGAUGUCCAAUGUGAGAGAGCCUCAGCUGUUGAGGCAUGUACUUUGUGAACUACUUGUUGCAUCUUUGUCAUGAAAAUAACUGUACAGGAGGUAUAUGUGGGAUUUUUUCUGGGGUUGGUAUUGUCAUAUACAUAGGUACUUCAGGCAGACAGGCAGACAGGCAGGCAGGAAGCUGAUUACCAUCUGACCCUUGCAGUAGUUACUUUGUUAGGCUGGUUUGUUUUAGUUUGUCAUGUUGGAAACUUGAACCUACUUGGUUUUUGGUGUCUAAAUCAAGUGCUGAUGUCUAUGUGAGAUGUUAUGUGAUGUUUGAAAUUACGGUAUUUGACUUAAAAUUUGGGGUUAUUUGGUUGUGAAUGGGUAGGGAUUAAAGCCUAUUCCUUGACAAAAAGCAGUCAAGUCUAAUUCAAAUUGCAGUCA